RNAcentral lists this ribosomal RNA (460 nucleotides) under uncultured bacterium. RNAcentral describes it as "partial 16S ribosomal RNA". It matches the Rfam family "Bacterial small subunit ribosomal RNA", at positions 338 to 795 of the family's 1533-position model. The record is from RNAcentral.
CCUACGGGAGGCAGCAGUGAGGAAUAUUGGUCAAUGGGCGCGAGCCUGAACCAGCCAAGUCGCGUGAGGGAGGACGGCCCUACGGGUUGUAAACCUCUUUUGCCGGGGAGCAACGGGCGCCACGUGUGGCGCCACUGAGAGUACCCGGAGAAAAAGCAUGGGCUAACUCCGUGCCAGCAGCCGCGGUAAGACGGAGGAUGCGAGCGUUAUCCGGAUUUAUUGGGUUUAAAGGGUGCGUAGGCGGAUGGUUAAGUCAGUGGUAAAAUUUAGGGGCUAAACCCCGACCCGCCAUUGAAACUGGCGAUCUUGAGUGGGAGAGAGGUAUGCGGAAUGCGUGGUGUAGCGGUGAAAUGCAUAGAUAUCACGCAGAACCCCGAUGGCGAAGGCAGCAUGCCGGCUUCCGACUGACGCUGAGGCACGAAAGCGUGGGGAUCGAACAGGAUUAGAUACCCUUGUAGUC